GACGAACGCUGGCGGCGUGCUUAACACAUGCAAGUCGAGCGGUAAGGCCCUUUCGGGGGUACGACGAGCGGCGAACGGGUGAGUAACACGUGGGUGACCUGCCCUCAGCUCUGGGAUAAGCCUGGGAAACCGGGUCUAAUACUGGAUAUGACUCCAUGACGCAUGUUGUGGGGUGGAAAGCCUUGUGCGGCUGAGGAUGGGCCCGCGGCCUAUCAGCUUGUUGGUGGGGUGANGGCCUACCAAGGCGACGACGGGUAGCCGGCCUGAGAGGGCGACCGGCCACACUGGGACUGAGACGCGGCCCAGACUCCGUACGGGAGGCAGCAGGUGGGGAAUCUUGCGCAAGUGGGCGAAAGCCUGACGCAGCGACGCCGCGUGAGGGAUGACGGCC
Molecule: ribosomal RNA, 391 nt
Filed under: uncultured bacterium
Lineage: Bacteria
Description: bacterial SSU rRNA
Rfam family: Bacterial small subunit ribosomal RNA
Source: RNAcentral